GUGCCAGCAGUUGCGGUAAAACGUAAAGGACAAGUAAUACACAUAAUAGGUAUAAAGAGUUAGCAAUACGGAUCUAAAAAUAAAUAUAUAAAAUAUAAAAUUUCUAUAAAAAUAUAAAAAAUAUAGAAAUUAGAUCUAGAAUCUAUAGAUGAGUUAUUAUGAGGUAUAUGAGUAGCGGUUAAAUGCGUAUAUACAUAUAUAACAACCAAUAAAGAAGUAAUAUAACUAAUACAUAGAUUGACGUUGAGUAACGAAACUUAGAGUAUCAAAUAGGACUAGUCAACCUAUAAGUUCUAAGCGUAAACGAUGUAUACUAAUAUUUAUAUUAAAAAAGAAAUAUGGAUAUAAAGCAAAUGCGUAAGUAUAUCACCAGGGGAGUACUGAUUAAUCGAAGAAACCCAAAACAAUAGACGGUUUGAGUGUUAACAGUGGAUUAUGUUAUUUAAU
This 447-nucleotide ribosomal RNA is filed under the name Blastobotrys capitulatus. RNAcentral describes it as "Blastobotrys capitulata partial small subunit ribosomal RNA". It matches the Rfam family "Bacterial small subunit ribosomal RNA", at positions 505 to 950 of the family's 1533-position model. The record is from RNAcentral. Lineage: Eukaryota; Fungi; Ascomycota; Dipodascomycetes; Dipodascales; Trichomonascaceae.